This 253-nucleotide ribosomal RNA is filed under the name uncultured bacterium. RNAcentral describes it as "partial 16S ribosomal RNA". It matches the Rfam family "Bacterial small subunit ribosomal RNA", at positions 524 to 776 of the family's 1533-position model. The record is from RNAcentral.
GACGAACCGUGCAACCGUUAUUCGGAAUCACUGGGCUUAAAGGGCGCGUAGGCGGUCGGUCAAGUCAGGGGUGAAAUCUUUCGGCUCAACCGGAAAAGUGCCUUUGAUACUGGCCGUCUCGAGGGAGGUAGGGGCGUGCGGAACUUUGGGUGGAGCGGUGAAAUGCGUAGAUAUCCAAAGGAACACCGGUGGCGAGAGCGGCGCGCUGGACCUCUACUGACGCUGAGGCGCGAAAGCCAGGGGAGCAAACGGG